RNAcentral lists this ribosomal RNA (403 nucleotides) under uncultured bacterium. Its description in RNAcentral is "partial 16S ribosomal RNA". It matches the Rfam family "Bacterial small subunit ribosomal RNA", at positions 28 to 526 of the family's 1533-position model. The record is from RNAcentral.
GACGAACGCUGGCGGCGUGCCUAAUACAUGCAAGUCGAACGCAGUGGGGACGGGUGAGUAACACGUGGGUAACCUCCCCUCAGAGGGGAUAACACUUGGAAACAGGUGCUAAACCGAUACUGAUGGAUGGACCCGCGGUGCAUUAGCUAGUUGGUGAGGUAACGGCGCACCACGGCCACGAUGCAUAGCUGAGCUGAGAGGGUGAUCGGCAACACUGUGACUGAGACACGGCCCAGACUCCUACGGGAGGCAGCAGUAGGGAAUAUUCGGCAAUGGACGAAAGUCUGACCCAGCAACGCCGCGUGAGUGAAGAAGGUUUUCGGAUUGUAAAGCUCUGUUGUUAGAGAAGCGGUAUCUAACCAGAAAGCAACGGCUAACUACGUGCCAGCAGCCGCGGUAAUAC